AGAAAAUGCCCAUGUUGAUGAGAACUGCAGGAUCCAAGGAAAUUAACUUGACUUGUAUUUUAGACAAUUCUGCCAUAUCCAUUCCUUGCCCAGAGCUGUCAACGGAGAAAGAGUUGUGCCUGCUUACAGCUUUAAUCAGAGAUAAAAAUUACCCCUAGUUCAUGAAUAUGUUUAUCACGGAGAUAAGUCAAUGGCAGAGAAUAGAUUCUCAGCACACAGCUCUGCAUGUCUUGCACUAAAACAUGUCAUAUACUGAUGUGUUUUGCUCUACAAAUAGCACCCUCAUACUCCACUCAUUGUCCAGACACAGACAGAGCCUGGGCAGGGAAAAGUCCUUCAGAAGGAAGCACAAGGAGCUUUUCUGAUGAGCUUGGAGGACCUUAAAGCUCCUUGGGUGUCUGCUUGCUGUGGCUUGGCCACCAUCUAUGAAUCCUUUACUAGACUGCCAGGGGAGAGGUGAAGAGGGAAAUUAUCAUUUGGUCUGAUCACAAAAGCUGUUGGGGCUCCUAUGAUCAUCCUCUGUGUCCUGAGGCUCUGUCUCCCUCCUGGAUGUGUUCCCAGCUGCUGUUGUCUGGACCCAACACUUCAGGCAUGGCUCUUGACCAUUAAUACCAGUGUCUUUGGCAUAACAGGGACCAGCAAACAACUUGUGACCCAAAAGAGAAACAGCAGCAGUAGCAGCUGGGCUCUUCUCCAGAGCUCCUGA
RNAcentral lists this long non-coding RNA (706 nucleotides) under Lonchura striata (white-rumped munia). Its description in RNAcentral is "domestica (Bengalese finch) lncRNA (ENSLSDG00000016852.1)". Lineage: Eukaryota; Metazoa; Chordata; Aves; Passeriformes; Estrildidae. The record is from RNAcentral.